Molecule: ribosomal RNA, 407 nt
Filed under: uncultured bacterium
Lineage: Bacteria
Description: partial 16S ribosomal RNA
Rfam family: Bacterial small subunit ribosomal RNA
Source: RNAcentral
GACGAACGCUGGCGGCGUGCUUAACACAUGCAAGUCGAGCGAAGCGGCGGACGGGUGAGUAACACGUGAGUAACCUGCCUUAGACAUUGGGAUAGCCUCGGGAAACCGGGAUUAAUACCAAAUGGUCUAAGAUGGACUCGCGGCCCAUUAGCGAGUUGGUGAGGUAACGGCCCACCAAGGCGGGGACGGGUAGCCGGCCUGGGAGGGUGACCGUCCACAUUGGGACUUGGAUACGGCCCAGACUCUACGGGAUGCAGCAGUGGGGGAUAUUGCACAAUGGGCGAAAGCCUGAUGCAGCGACGCCGCGUGAACGAAGAAGGCUUUCGAGUCGUAAAGUUCUUUUAUAUGGGAAGCGGUACCAUAAGAAAAAGCCCCGGCUAACUACGUGCCAGCAGCCGCGGUAAUUC